This is a small nuclear RNA of 114 nucleotides. Its record names the gene U2. It matches the Rfam family "U2 spliceosomal RNA". Rfam says of the family: U2 is a small nuclear RNA (snRNA) component of the spliceosome (involved in pre-mRNA splicing). The record is from Ensembl.
AUUGCUUCCUGGCCUUUUGGCUAAGAUCAAGUGUAGUAUUUAAUGUUUUUGUUAUAACUAGACAUUGCUGUUAUUGAUAGAAAUUAUCAUUCUGUUUAUUUUUAUGGAACAAGU